This 1996-nucleotide long non-coding RNA is filed under the name Lactuca sativa (garden lettuce). RNAcentral's name for it is "long non-coding RNA (LSAT_LNC009337)". The record is from RNAcentral. Lineage: Eukaryota; Viridiplantae; Streptophyta; Magnoliopsida; Asterales; Asteraceae.
CCACUUUAUGCCAGAACUCUCAAACUUACUUAUGAAGAGCAGAAGCUUUUGAUAGAGGUAUAACUAACUUCAAAAUUAUUGUUAAAAUUUCAUUUUAGGUCCUUCAAUUUAGAUGAUUUUUGCCAACUUUGGUCCUAAACCGUCUGUUCAAUGCUUGGUCCUUGAGAUUUUUGUAACUAUUUUCGUCUAUGUUCCAUGUAAUAUGACAAUAUUACCCUUAUCUAUUUUUUUUAUUUACUUAAAGUUUGUUAUCGAAUCUCUAAUGUAACAUUUAAAUAAUUAUUAUAUACUACUAUUACUUUGAAACAAUAAAAACUCCUGACACUGUUACUUGAGAACGUCAGGUUUUGAUAAAGUAAGUUCUUCUAAGAUGAUGUCACUGAUGAUAAAAAGACAUACAAUUAACGAUUAUUAUUUUUUUAUAAUUAAAGUUCACUUAUAAACAACAAAAUCCAACAAGGGUAUCAUACUAUUUUACAAUUCUGUAAUUUAAAAUUUUUGAAUCUCUAAUCAAAUAUAUAGAUUAUCAAAUGCAUGGACCAAAAUAAAGAUAGUUAUCCACUAAAAAACCUACAGGAGUGAUAUGUUGGUUUUUGAUUAACUUACAUAUGUUAAAAAAAUAGAAUAUUUGAGAAACCACUUUUGGUUUCCUUUGUAGUUCUAAUCUUACAAUUACUAAUUUUAAUACUUUUUUUAUCUGUUUCCCAACAAACACCCGAGAAAUAGCAAUGUACUUUUGUUAUAAGCAACAAAUAGCUAUGUACUUAACCAUUUUGUCUCAAAUGAAGUUAAAUGGAUUAAAAAAAUUUAGAAAAUGGUUUACUAUAAUUUUUAACAGAUCUAGGAAGAUCUAAAUAAGUAUGGUCCAAUCAUGUUUUUUCACUUACAGAAGAUCACAUCACAACCCACCUGAUAAAGUUUUAAAUUUGUUAAUGUUAUUAAGAGACUUUCAUUUAUAGCAUGCAUGAGCUUUUAAAGAAAAAUGAAGAUGGGGUUUCUAUUAUAUUUUACAGAUUUAUGGAGGUAUUAUGUCUUUCAAAUUUCAAUUUUCAAACUCCAAUAAGACUGUAACAGUAGUGUCAUUUUUGUCAUUUUCGAGGGUACCAAUUUUCACCUAUGUAACUAAAACAGGUCAAUUUUCGCAUUGCACUUUCAAUUACCCAUCUUUCGCAUUACACUUUGAAUUGUGUCCUAUUAGGACACUGUAGCUAGAACAAAUACAUGAAUGUACGUUGCUGUUUACUGCAUUUAUAAUCCUUUUAAUAAUUUUGUUCUAUUUUAUUUUUCCUAAUGUACUAGCUUUUAUUCAGUGGAUCCAAAAAACCGUGANUUUGAUAGAGGUAUAACUAACUUCAAAAUUAUUGAGAAAAUUUCAUUUUAGGUCCUUCAAUUUAGAUGAUUUUUGCCAACUUUGGUCCUAAACCGUCUGUUCAAUGCUUGGUCCUUGAGAUUUUUGUAACUAUUUUCGUCUAUGUUCCAUGUAAUAUGACAAUAUUACCCUUAUCUAUUUUUUUUAUUUACUUAAAGUUUGUUAUCGAAUCUCUAAUGUAACAUUUAAAUAAUUAUUAUAUACUACUAUUACUUUGAAACAAUAAAAACUCCUGACACUGUUACUUGAGAACGUCAGGUUUUGAUAAAGUAAGUUCUUCUAAGAUGAUGUCACUGAUGAUAAAAAGACAUACAAUUAACGAUUAGUAUUUUUUUAUAAUUAAAGUUCACUUAUAAACAACAAAAUCCAACAAGGGUAUCAUACUAUUUUACAAUUCUGUAAUUUAAAAUUUUUGAAUCUCUAAUCAAAUAUAUAGAUUAUCAAAUGCAUGGACCAAAAUAAAGAUAGUUAUCCACUAAAAAACCUACAGGAGUGAUAUGUUGGUUUUUGAUUAACUUACAUAUGUUUAAAAAAUAGAAUAUUUGAGAAACCACUUUUGGUUUCCUUUGUAGUUCUAAUCUUACAAUUACUAAUUUUAAUACUUUUUUUAUCUGUUUCCCAACAAAC